UACGUAGGUGGCGAGCGUUGUCCGGAUUUAUUGGGCGUAAAGCGCGCGCAGGUGGCGCAUUAAGUCCCGCGUGAAAGCUCCCGGCUCAACUGGGAGAGGUCGUGGGAGACUGGUGUGCUUGAGGCAGGCAGAGGCCGGUGGAAUUCCCGGUGUAGUGGUGAAAUGCGUAGAUAUCGGGAGGAACACCAGUGGCGAAGGCGGCCGGCUGGGCCUGACCUGACGCUGAGGCGCGAAAGCGUGGGGAGCGAACCGG
RNAcentral lists this ribosomal RNA (253 nucleotides) under uncultured bacterium. RNAcentral's name for it is "partial 16S ribosomal RNA". It matches the Rfam family "Bacterial small subunit ribosomal RNA", at positions 524 to 776 of the family's 1533-position model. The record is from RNAcentral.